Molecule: ribosomal RNA, 2903 nt
Filed under: Klebsiella pneumoniae
Lineage: Bacteria; Pseudomonadati; Pseudomonadota; Gammaproteobacteria; Enterobacterales; Enterobacteriaceae
Description: 23S ribosomal RNA
Rfam family: Bacterial large subunit ribosomal RNA
Source: RNAcentral
GGUUAAGCGACUAAGCGUACACGGUGGAUGCCCUGGCAGUCAGAGGCGAUGAAGGACGUGCUAAUCUGCGAAAAGCGUCGGUAAGGUGAUAUGAACCGUUAUAACCGGCGAUGUCCGAAUGGGGAAACCCAGUGCAAUUCGUUGCACUAUCGUUAACUGAAUACAUAGAUUAACGAGGCGAACCGGGGGAACUGAAACAUCUAAGUACCCCGAGGAAAAGAAAUCAACCGAGAUUCCCCCAGUAGCGGCGAGCGAACGGGGAGCAGCCCAGAGUCUGAAUCAGCUUGUGUGUUAGUGGAACGGUCUGGAAAGUCCGACGGUACAGGGUGAUAGUCCCGUACACCAAAAUGCACAGGCUGUGAACUCGAAGAGUAGGGCGGGACACGUGGUAUCCUGUCUGAAUAUGGGGGGACCAUCCUCCAAGGCUAAAUACUCCUGACUGACCGAUAGUGAACCAGUACCGUGAGGGAAAGGCGAAAAGAACCCCGGCGAGGGGAGUGAAAAAGAACCUGAAACCGUGUACGUACAAGCAGUGGGAGCACCUUCGGGUGUGACUGCGUACCUUUUGUAUAAUGGGUCAGCGACUUAUAUUCUGUAGCAAGGUUAACCGUAUAGGGGAGCCGCAGGGAAACCGAGUCUUAACUGGGCGUUAAGUUGCAGGGUAUAGACCCGAAACCCGGUGAUCUAGCCAUGGGCAGGUUGAAGGUUGGGUAACACUAACUGGAGGACCGAACCGACUAAUGUUGAAAAAUUAGCGGAUGACUUGUGGCUGGGGGUGAAAGGCCAAUCAAACCGGGAGAUAGCUGGUUCUCCCCGAAAGCUAUUUAGGUAGCGCCUCGUGAAUUCAUCUUCGGGGGUAGAGCACUGUUUCGGCUAGGGGGUCAUCCCGACUUACCAACCCGAUGCAAACUACGAAUACCGAAGAAUGUUAUCACGGGAGACACACGGCGGGUGCUAACGUCCGUCGUGAAGAGGGAAACAACCCAGACCGCCAGCUAAGGUCCCAAAGUCAUGGUUAAGUGGGAAACGAUGUGGGAAGGCACAGACAGCCAGGAUGUUGGCUUAGAAGCAGCCAUCAUUUAAAGAAAGCGUAAUAGCUCACUGGUCGAGUCGGCCUGCGCGGAAGAUGUAACGGGGCUAAACCAUGCACCGAAGCUGCGGCAGCGACGCUUAUGCGUUGUUGGGUAGGGGAGCGUUCUGUAAGCCUGCGAAGGUGACCUGUGAGGGUUGCUGGAGGUAUCAGAAGUGCGAAUGCUGACAUAAGUAACGAUAAAGCGGGUGAAAAGCCCGCUCGCCGGAAGACCAAGGGUUCCUGUCCAACGUUAAUCGGGGCAGGGUGAGUCGACCCCUAAGGCGAGGCCGAAAGGCGUAGUCGAUGGGAAACAGGUUAAUAUUCCUGUACUUGGUGUUACUGCGAAGGGGGGACGGAGAAGGCUAUGUUAGCCGGGCGACGGUUGUCCCGGUUUAAGCAUGUAGGCUGGUUGUCCAGGCAAAUCCGGAUAAUCAAGGCUGAGGUGUGAUGACGAGGCACUACGGUGCUGAAGUAACAAAUGCCCUGCUUCCAGGAAAAGCCUCUAAGCAUCAGGUAACAUUAAAUCGUACCCCAAACCGACACAGGUGGUCAGGUAGAGAAUACCAAGGCGCUUGAGAGAACUCGGGUGAAGGAACUAGGCAAAAUGGUGCCGUAACUUCGGGAGAAGGCACGCUGGUGUGUAGGUGAAGUCCCUGCGGAUGGAGCUGAGACCAGUCGAAGAUACCAGCUGGCUGCAACUGUUUAUUAAAAACACAGCACUGUGCAAACACGAAAGUGGACGUAUACGGUGUGACGCCUGCCCGGUGCCGGAAGGUUAAUUGAUGGGGUUAUCCGUAAGGAGAAGCUCUUGAUCGAAGCCCCGGUAAACGGCGGCCGUAACUAUAACGGUCCUAAGGUAGCGAAAUUCCUUGUCGGGUAAGUUCCGACCUGCACGAAUGGCGUAAUGAUGGCCAGGCUGUCUCCACCCGAGACUCAGUGAAAUUGAACUCGCUGUGAAGAUGCAGUGUACCCGCGGCAAGACGGAAAGACCCCGUGAACCUUUACUAUAGCUUGACACUGAACAUUGAGCCUUGAUGUGUAGGAUAGGUGGGAGGCUUUGAAGCGUGGACGCCAGUCUGCGUGGAGCCAACCUUGAAAUACCACCCUUUAAUGUUUGAUGUUCUAACGUUGGCCCCUUACCGGGGUUGCGGACAGUGUCUGGUGGGUAGUUUGACUGGGGCGGUCUCCUCCCAAAGCGUAACGGAGGAGCACGAAGGUUAGCUAAUCCUGGUCGGACAUCAGGAGGUUAGUGCAAUGGCAUAAGCUAGCUUGACUGCGAGCGUGACGGCGCGAGCAGGUGCGAAAGCAGGUCAUAGUGAUCCGGUGGUUCUGAAUGGAAGGGCCAUCGCUCAACGGAUAAAAGGUACUCCGGGGAUAACAGGCUGAUACCGCCCAAGAGUUCAUAUCGACGGCGGUGUUUGGCACCUCGAUGUCGGCUCAUCACAUCCUGGGGCUGAAGUAGGUCCCAAGGGUAUGGCUGUUCGCCAUUUAAAGUGGUACGCGAGCUGGGUUUAGAACGUCGUGAGACAGUUCGGUCCCUAUCUGCCGUGGGCGCUGGAGAAUUGAGGGGGGCUGCUCCUAGUACGAGAGGACCGGAGUGGACGCAUCACUGGUGUUCGGGUUGUCAUGCCAAUGGCACUGCCCGGUAGCUAAAUGCGGAAGAGAUAAGUGCUGAAAGCAUCUAAGCACGAAACUUGCCCCGAGAUGAGUUCUCCCUGAGACUUUAAGUCUCCUGAAGGAACGUUAAAGACGAUGACGUUGAUAGGCCGGGUGUGUAAGCGCAGCGAUGCGUUGAGCUAACCGGUACUAAUGAACCGUGAGGCUUAACCUU